GGGCUUGUAGCUCAGUUGGAUAGAGUAUCUGGCUACGAACCAGAGGGUCGGGAGUUCGAAUCUCUCCAAGCCCA
RNAcentral lists this transfer RNA (74 nucleotides) under Panacagrimonas perspica. It matches the Rfam family "tRNA". From Rfam's summary of the family: Transfer RNA (tRNA) molecules are approximately 80 nucleotides in length. Their secondary structure includes four short double-helical elements and three loops (D, anti-codon, and T loops). The record is from Rfam by way of RNAcentral. Lineage: Bacteria; Pseudomonadati; Pseudomonadota; Gammaproteobacteria; Nevskiales; Nevskiaceae.